ACUGGGCAUGGUGGCGCAUACCUGUAAUCCUAGUGCUCCGGAGGCUGAGGCAGGAGGUUUGCAAGUGCAAAGCCAGCUUAAGCAAUUUAGUGGGAGUCUGUCUCAA
RNAcentral lists this small RNA (106 nucleotides) under Marmota monax (woodchuck). The record is from RNAcentral. Lineage: Eukaryota; Metazoa; Chordata; Mammalia; Rodentia; Sciuridae.